Molecule: long non-coding RNA, 536 nt
Filed under: Chrysolophus pictus (golden pheasant)
Lineage: Eukaryota; Metazoa; Chordata; Aves; Galliformes; Phasianidae
Description: lncRNA (ENSCPIG00010007126.1)
Source: RNAcentral
CAGCUUCAGCCGCACCGCCGCGUGUAGCACUCCGCCCCCCCGUGACAGUGCUGUUGGGCCCGCUGGGAUGGACAAGUGUAGUAGAAGAAAUUAAUGUACUUUCCCGAGCCUGGAUCCCGGUGCCCGUACCCGAGCGCAUUGCAGCGGGCCGCCUGGCGCUGGGUUUGGGAGCAGCCCGAAGAGGAGACGCCCUUAGGACGGAUCGUAGACGUCCAUCGCGAACCGCGCCCGGGCGGGCGGGGAGGUUCCCGGGGGCACAGCGCGAUUCGGCCGGGAGCGGCACGGGGUGACGGCCGAGAGCCCCGGGAACCGCGACGGGGCGGGCAGCCCUCGGCGUCACCGCGGCCCCUCCCGUGCUGAGCCCGUGGCUCCGGGUGGCCAGCGAGCGAACGAACGAACGAAUGUGUCCUCGGGCCAGAGGGGACGUGACACCGGCCACCUGUUCUCCUGCCUCUCACGGUCCCGCAUCUUCCCAGCUCCCAGUGCAUUGAGCCCAACCGUUUUGAUCCCCGGCAAUAAAUUCAGGGCCUUCGGCA